RNAcentral lists this non-coding RNA (26 nucleotides) under Rattus norvegicus (Norway rat). Lineage: Eukaryota; Metazoa; Chordata; Mammalia; Rodentia; Muridae. The record is from RNAcentral.
UGAAAUUGUGAGUUACCACUGGGAAG